UCACAUUUUGAAAUUCAAAUUUUGAAUUAUUAAAACAAAGUCGGAUGGAGAAAUGGCUAAAACAAAAGUUGUAGAUAUCGAUGAUUUUUAAAAAUUUGUAUCAGACAAUUUUUCCAUUUGAAUUCAUUAAUAAUUUACAAAAUUAAUUAAAAUAAUAACUAUGAACUUUAAUAGAAAUUUAAAAUCUCUACUAUAAAAAAAGCAAAACUAAGACUAUUUUUUGGUACAUCAUCUUCCGCUCAGUGGUUUCGUCUCGCGGUAUAUCAAUUUCCCUCCGUCCGAUCAAAAAAUCCUCGUACCUCCGGUUCCUCCGCUCCGGUUCCGCGCCCGCGUGGCACAAGCACCAUCCGCAUCGCCUGCCUCCAUCUCCUCCGCAAC
Molecule: long non-coding RNA, 378 nt
Filed under: Setaria viridis
Lineage: Eukaryota; Viridiplantae; Streptophyta; Magnoliopsida; Poales; Poaceae
Description: long non-coding RNA (SVIR_LNC006716)
Source: RNAcentral